RNAcentral lists this ribosomal RNA (253 nucleotides) under uncultured bacterium. RNAcentral describes it as "partial 16S ribosomal RNA". It matches the Rfam family "Bacterial small subunit ribosomal RNA", at positions 524 to 776 of the family's 1533-position model. The record is from RNAcentral.
UACGUAGGGUGCGAGCGUUGUCCGGAAUUACUGGGCGUAAAGAGCUCGUAGGUGGUUUGUCGCGUUGUCCGUGAAAACUCACAACUCAAUUGUGGGCGUGCGGGCGAUACGGGCAGACUGGAGUACUGCAGGGGAGACUGGAAUUCCUGGUGUAGCGGUGGAAUGCGCAGAUAUCAGGGGGAACACCGGUGGCGAAGGCGGGUCUCUGGGCAGUAACUGACGCUGAGGAGCGAAAGCGUGGGGAGCGAACAGG